RNAcentral lists this non-coding RNA (87 nucleotides) under Enterobacter sp. BIGb0383. The record is from RNAcentral. Lineage: Bacteria; Pseudomonadati; Pseudomonadota; Gammaproteobacteria; Enterobacterales; Enterobacteriaceae. RNAcentral also lists the same sequence under 1 other name.
UCCAAUGGUGGGCCGGGCGAGGGCGUCGCAAGACGCGCCGGUUCCAGUAUGCCGGUAAUGCCAAUCUCGCCCGGCACCAUCACCAUG